This 253-nucleotide ribosomal RNA is filed under the name uncultured bacterium. RNAcentral describes it as "partial 16S ribosomal RNA". It matches the Rfam family "Bacterial small subunit ribosomal RNA", at positions 524 to 776 of the family's 1533-position model. The record is from RNAcentral.
UACGUAGGUGGCAAGCGUUGUCCGGAUUUACUGGGCGUAAAGCGCCCGCAGGCGGCUUGGCAAGUCUGAGGUGAAAUCUCCCGGCUCAACUGGGAGGGUGCCCCGGAAACUGCCAGGCUCGAGGCAGGGAGAGGGAUGUGGAAUUCCCGGUGUAGUGGUGAAAUGCGUAGAUAUCGGGAGGAACACCAGUGGCGAAGGCGGCAUCCUGGCCCUGUCCUGACGCUCAGGGGCGAAAGCGUGGGGAGCAAACGGG